This 1233-nucleotide ribosomal RNA is filed under the name Suchocyathocotyle fraterna. Its description in RNAcentral is "partial large subunit ribosomal RNA". It matches the Rfam family "Eukaryotic large subunit ribosomal RNA", at positions 54 to 884 of the family's 3401-position model. The record is from RNAcentral. Lineage: Eukaryota; Metazoa; Platyhelminthes; Trematoda; Diplostomida; Cyathocotylidae.
AGGAAAAGAAACUAACCAGGAUUCCCUCAGUAACGGCGAGUGAAGAGGGAUGAGCCCAGCACCGAAGCCUGUGGACAUUUGGCCACUAGGCAAUGUGGUGUUUAGGUUGAUUCGUGGCAUUACUGCUCCACCCUAAGUCCAGCACUGAGUAUGGUUUCUGGAAUUGGCCCACAGAGGGUGAAAGGCCCGUUGGGGUGGAGAUCGGUUUACAGUUUUGCCCUGAGUUGACCUUGGAGUCGGGUUGUUUGUGAAUGCAGCCCAAAGCGGGUGGUAAACUCCAUCCAAGGCUAAAUACUGGCACGAGUCCGAUAGCGAACAAGUACCGUGAGGGAAAGUUGAAAAGUACUUUGAAGAGAGAGUAAACAGUGCGUGAAACCGCUCAGAGGUAAACAGGUGGAGUUGAACUGGAAGCUACGGGAAUUCAGCUAGUGAGAUUGGCAUGUGCUUGGGCAUAUAGGUCGGCCUUCAGAGUCCGCUUAGCUGCGGGUUCCUGCCUCCGGGUGGGAAUGUGCGUUGCGCUUAUCAAGUGCUGUGCGCUCUGGGGUUUGACGGGCUGGCUUGCUAGUGCACUUUUCCGUGGUGAUCACCACGACCGGCGCUGUUGCUUUUCUGCUGUGGUCAAACCGGUUAGGUCUGGUCCAUGUGGCUGAACUUGAUCGGGAUGGCAGGUAGCUCGUUUGCUGGUUUUACCAGUUUGUGGGUGUAAUGAGCUGGCCGCAGUGGUUCUAUGCAAUGUGUCGGAGAUGACGGCUUUAUGCAUGUGCAGGCGUGUUGCUUGUUGGCGGGGCCGGGUUUGAUCGGCAUGUCUACCUGCGAAUGUGGGUCUGUCGAUGGCUCGGUCUUGUUCGAUUUGUAAUGCGUCUGCGGUGCUGUGAAUGGGCCUAUAGUCUGUGGUGUUGUGGUAAACUAUCCACCUGACCCGUCUUGAAACACGGACCAAGGAGUUUAACAUGUGCGCGAGUCAUUGGGUGCUACGAAACCCAAAGGCGCAGUGAAAGUAAAGGUUCGGCUUGUCCGAGCUGAGGUGAGAUCCGGUCGUUCCUCGUGCAAGGUACUACCAAGCAUUCGGACGGCAGGCGCAUCACCGGCCCGUCUCACGGCGUAGUCAUGUGACCUUGUGUUGCGUGCACCACCGGGGCGGAGCAAGAGCGCACACGUUGAGACCCGAAAGAUGGUGAACUAUGCUUGCGGAGGUUGAAGCCAGAGGAAACUCUGGUGGAGGACCGCAGCGAU